This 68-nucleotide transfer RNA is filed under the name Bodianus oxycephalus. Its description in RNAcentral is "tRNA-Ser". Lineage: Eukaryota; Metazoa; Chordata; Actinopteri; Labriformes; Labridae. The record is from RNAcentral. RNAcentral also lists the same sequence under 1 other name.
GAGAGAGGCCUGUUUGCAACGAAUACUGCUAAUUUUCGCCCCCUUGGUUAGACUCCAAGGCUCCCUCG